GCCGGGUGCGGUGGCUCACGCCUGUAAUCCUAGCACUUUGGGAGGCUGAGGUGGGCGGAUCACCUGAGGUCAGGAGUUUGAGACCAGCCUGACCAACAUGGAGAAACCCCAUCUCUA
Molecule: non-coding RNA, 117 nt
Filed under: Pan paniscus (pygmy chimpanzee)
Lineage: Eukaryota; Metazoa; Chordata; Mammalia; Primates; Hominidae
Also listed under: 1 other name
Source: Rfam by way of RNAcentral